This is a long non-coding RNA of Cynoglossus semilaevis (tongue sole), 1618 nucleotides long. RefSeq lists it as uncharacterized. The record is from RefSeq and is a predicted model, not a curated record. The transcript has 4 exons. NCBI's taxonomy places the organism in Eukaryota, Metazoa, Chordata, Actinopteri, Pleuronectiformes, Cynoglossidae.
GAACCACGUGGAGCUGGAGGAGGAGAAGGAGGAGGUCCUGGUUGUGUUCCCUCACUGUGAGACACUGACUGUCCACUCAGCCCUGCAGAAUAUGGCCGUUGAUGGUGUGUUCGCUGCCCCCUCGGCCGGGGCCGCCGCUGCCCCAGUGGAGGUGCAGUUGUACAGCUGUGAAGAGCCAGGGCAGCCCCCCCAGACCCAUCCACUCUGGCAGCUCCAGUCCAACUGAAGGAGAGAGGAGUUCAUGAGUUCUACUCUGCAUUAAAGAAAUGUCGGUGAAGUCACAGCGGGACGUUCACGUUAAACAGUGUCAAAUUCACAUGAAUAUACUGCGCUGUCGUUGGGCUCCCCCUGCCUCACCCCGACGUAAGGACGCCCUGUCAUCUGAGGACACACGGUCCAGCAGUAAGACACGAAGGGAAUCAUUGACUCCAUGUUUUUCAGACUCAGCUUGCUGUUUUUUUGACAUGUCUGUUGCUCAGUUUCUCUCCUCAGACACCGGCAGUGAAAGGCCGUCGCCGCUCGUAUUGGAAACAAAUUUGUCACAUUGAACUUUGACCCACUUCAUCAGCAAACAGUCCUCCCACAGGCUUAGGCUUAACACGGCCGUUCCUAUUGAAUUCUCAAGCAUGUCAAUACAAGGCACCGUGAUGGGUGGAAGGAACCAACCACAGAAACCAGUAUGGGGGAUGGGAACUGGGAGGAUGGGAGGAUGGGGGCGGUGGGGGCGGACUGGUGAACUCAGAGGAGGUUCACUGGGUUCAUGUGAUGCAUAGGAAUGUUACUGGGGGGGAGGCUGGGGGGUUGGGGGGUGGAAGUCUUUUUCUGUUGACCUGGUCUCUUUUGCGUGUGCAACACAAACACAGACCUGGGUUUACCAUUACCAAAGGUUAAACCUUUUACUGUUGGGACAAUAGGGGGAGAUGGUUUACUCACCUGGUGCCGAUGGUCCUCAGUGGACGUGGCUCAUGGUUAAAAUGAGUGUGCAUGUGUAUGUACGUGUGUGUGUGUGUGUGUUUGUCCUACAUACUAUGUGUAUGUUGAGCGAUGGGUUCAGUGGGUUCAUGUGUAUGUUGUAUGUGUAGGGAGGGGGGGGAUGGGCAGCCCAUUCCCCUGACUGCAGCACGCAAGGCGCUUAGAAGCAUCCCCCACUCCUCACGCUUCCUACUGGUAUUUCACAACCACUAACACCAGUAGAACCAGUAUGAGAAUAUCUACGCUGCUAUUCUACACAAAGAAAGAGAGAAAAUCCCAGUAUGUCAGAUAUAAAUGAUGAAGAAGAUGAUGAUGAUGGUGGUGGUGGGGCAGAUGACAUUGAUGAAGAUGAGUGAUCAAUAAAUGCUGGUUAAGCUACACUGCGUGUUUCCAGCCGGGGUCGGUGGGUUCACUGUGUGGUAGUAAAGCUGAGGGAGGGGCUGCUGCUCCUUCUCCUCAGCCAUGAAUCGUGGGCUUGAACAGUGACUUACUGCAUUAUGUUCAAACAUUAAAUCCCAUUUGAUGCUCGUGGUUGUCAAUUAACCGACCGGUGACAAUGACACGGAAUGUUCCAGAACAGAUCAGAAUAUAUUUUCCUCUCCAUUUUUUUUUUUUAAUGUGGUGUUGAUGCAGUUCAGACGUCGUU